Mus musculus (house mouse) is the source of this 3448-nucleotide RNA transcript. It is a transcript of the gene named DEAH-box helicase 16, with no coding region annotated. Lineage: Eukaryota; Metazoa; Chordata; Mammalia; Rodentia; Muridae. The transcript is spliced from 20 exons. The record is from RefSeq and is marked validated.
GGAAGAGCGCGACUCUUUCCGGGUUUCGCGGUCUGUGGAAUUGGAGUCUCUACGGCAGCCGGAGCGAGGCGGUAGUACCGCAGGCUCUGUCCCCGCCGCAGUCCUGGCCGUUCCGCGGUUGCGCGCCCGGAGCAGGACGCGUCGCCAUGGCGACGCCGGCGGGGCUGGAGCGGUGGGUGCAGGAGGAGCUGCACUCGGUGCUGGGGCUGAGCGAGCGGCACGUCGCGCAGUUCCUGAUCGGCACCGCACAGCGCUGCGCCUCCGCCGAGGAGUUCGUGCAGCGCCUGCGGGACACCGACACCCUGGACCUCGGGGGGCCGGCGCGGGACUUCGCCCUGAAGCUCUGGAGCAAGGUGCCACGGAAGGCUGUGGUGGAAAAGCCAGCUCGGGCAGCUGAGCGAGAGGCCCGAGCCCUGCUAGAGAAAAACCGUUCUUAUAAGUUGUUGGAAGACAGCGAGAGCGGCGAGGAGGCAGUGGGUAGUAACGGGAGCAGCCUCCAGAAGAAGCGGAAGAGACGGAAACACCUCAGGAAGAAACACCAGGAGGACGAGGAGGACGAGGAGGAAGAGGUUUCCGAGUCAGGGAAGAGGAAGGCAGGGGGGAGUAAAUCACCCACGGAGGAGAAGCCAGCCUCAGAGGAUGAAUGGGAAAGGACGGAGCGUGAGCGUCUCCAGGACUUGGAAGAACGGGAUGCCUUUGCAGAGCGGGUUCGGCAACGGGACAAGGACCGGACCCGGAAUGUCCUGGAACGGUCAGAUAAGAAGGCCUAUGAAGAGGCUCAGAAGCGCCUCAAGAUGGCUGAGGAAGAUCGGAAAGCCAUGGUCCCUGAGCUCCGUAAGAAGUCUCGUCGGGAAUACCUGGCGAAGCGGGAGCGAGAAAAACUGGAGGACCUGGAGGCGGAACUGGCUGAUGAGGAGGUCCUGUUUGGGGACGUGGAGCUGAGUCGCCAUGAGCGCAGGGAGCUCAAGUACAAGCGACGUGUGCGGGACCUGGCUCGGGAGUACCGGGCAGCCGGAGAGCAGGAGAAGCUGGAGGCCACUAAUCGCUACCACAUGCCCAAGGAGACCCGAGGGCAGCCAGCUCGAACUGUGGACAUCGUUGAGGAGGAAUCGGGUGCGCCGGGAGAGGAGCAGCGGCGCUGGGAGGAGGCCCAGCUGGGUGCUGCAUCCCUGAAGUUUGGAGCCCGAGAUGCUGCUGCGCAGGAGGCCAAGUACCAGCUGGUGCUGGAGGAGGACGAGACCAUCGAGUUUGUCCGUGCUGCUCAACUCCAGGGUGACGAGGAGCCGUCAGGCCCGCCCCUGUCAGCCCAGGCCCAGCAGAAGGAAUCUAUCCAGGCUGUGCGCCGCAGCCUGCCCGUGUUCCCCUUCCGAGAGGAGCUUCUGGCCGCCAUUGCCAACCAUCAGGUCCUCAUCAUCGAAGGCGAGACUGGCUCUGGGAAGACCACACAGAUCCCACAGUACCUCUUUGAGGAGGGUUACACAAAGAAGGGCAUGAAGAUUGCUUGCACCCAGCCCCGGAGAGUGGCGGCUAUGAGUGUGGCAGCCCGAGUGGCCCGGGAGAUGGGUGUGAAGCUUGGGAACGAGGUGGGCUACAGCAUCCGGUUUGAGGACUGCACCUCAGAGCGAACUGUUCUCCGCUACAUGACAGAUGGAAUGCUACUCCGAGAGUUCCUCUCUGAGCCUGACCUUGCAAGUUACAGUGUGGUGAUGGUGGAUGAAGCUCACGAGCGGACCUUGCACACAGACAUUCUCUUUGGAUUGAUCAAAGACGUCGCUAGAUUCCGACCUGAGCUCAAGGUCCUGGUGGCUUCAGCCACACUGGAUACUGCCCGGUUUUCUGCCUUCUUCGAUGACGCCCCUGUCUUCAGAAUCCCUGGACGCAGGUUUCCAGUUGACAUCUUCUAUACCAAGGCCCCAGAGGCUGACUACCUGGAAGCCUGCGUUGUGUCUGUGCUGCAGAUCCACGUGACCCAGCCCCCUGGAGAUAUACUGGUGUUCCUGACGGGACAGGUGUCUGCUGUGGUGGAGGAGAUUGAGGCUGCCUGUGAGAUGCUCCAGGACCGCUGCCGCAGGCUGGGCUCCAAGAUCCGGGAGCUCCUGGUGCUGCCCAUUUAUGCCAACCUGCCCUCAGACAUGCAGGCUCGCAUCUUCCAGCCCACACCCCCCGGGGCCCGAAAGGUGGUUGUGGCAACAAACAUUGCAGAAACUUCCCUCACCAUCGAAGGCAUCAUCUAUGUGCUGGACCCAGGGUUCUGCAAGCAGAAGAGCUACAACCCUCGUACGGGAAUGGAGUCACUCACGGUCACCCCCUGCAGCAAGGCUUCAGCCAAUCAGCGGGCUGGCCGUGCAGGUCGAGUGGCUGCCGGGAAGUGCUUCCGCCUGUAUACGGCCUGGGCCUAUCAGCAUGAGCUAGAGGAGACCACAGUUCCUGAGAUCCAGAGGACAAGCCUGGGCAACGUUGUGCUGCUGCUAAAGAGCUUAGGGAUCCAUGACCUGAUGCACUUUGACUUCCUGGACCCUCCUCCAUACGAGACCCUGCUGCUGGCUUUGGAGCAGCUUUAUGCCCUUGGCGCCCUCAACCACCUUGGAGAACUCACCACGGUGAGCCAGCGGCAGCACAGGCUGGGACAUCUGGUCGAAAGAUGGCAGAGCUGCCUGUGGAUCCCAUGUUGUCUAAAAUGAUCUUGGCCUCCGAGAAGUAUAGCUGUUCAGAAGAGAUCCUGACCGUGGCUGCUAUGCUGUCUGUCAACAAUUCCAUCUUCUACCGGCCCAAGGAUAAGGUUGUCCAUGCCGACAAUGCCCGUGUCAACUUCUUCCUCCCUGGUGGAGACCACCUGGUUCUGCUAAAUGUGUACACACAGUGGGCUGAGAGUGGCUACUCUUCCCAAUGGUGCUAUGAAAACUUUGUACAGUUCAGAUCCAUGCGCCGAGCCCGGGAUGUGCGGGAACAACUGGAGGGGCUCUUGGAGCGUGUGGAAGUUGGCUUGACUUCUUGCCAAGGUGACUACGUUCGUGUGAGAAAGGCCAUCACUUCGGGUUAUUUUUACCACACUGCGAGGCUGACUCGGAGCGGCUACCGCACAGUGAAGCAGCAGCAGACAGUGUUUAUUCAUCCCAACUCCUCUCUCUUUGAACAACAGCCACGCUGGUUGCUCUACCAUGAGCUUGUCUUGACCACAAAGGAAUUCAUGAGACAAGUACUGGAGAUUGAAAGCAGCUGGCUUUUGGAAGUGGCUCCCCACUACUAUAAGGCCAAGGAGCUAGAAGAUCCCCAUGCUAAGAAAAUGCCCAAAAAAGUCGGCAAGACACGAGAAGAGCUGGGCUAGAGAGUGACAUGGACCAAACCUUGCAGCUCUUUUUUCCUUCCAUACUUUAAUAUCUAGUAAAUAAAAUUAUUUUUGGAAUGAAGUGCAUGGGAACUCUGGAACCCAGAGAAAGUGACGUGAAAA